UUAAGCGACUAAGCGUACACGGUGGAUGCCCUGGCAGUCAGAGGCGAUGAAGGACGUGCUAAUCUGCGAAAAGCGUCGGUAAGGUGAUAUGAACCGUUAUAACCGGCGAUGUCCGAAUGGGGAAACCCAGUGCAAUUCGUUGCACUAUCGUUAACUGAAUACAUAGGUUAACGAGGCGAACCGGGGGAACUGAAACAUCUAAGUACCCCGAGGAAAAGAAAUCAACCGAGAUUCCCCCAGUAGCGGCGAGCGAACGGGGAGCAGCCCAGAGUCUGAAUCAGCUUGUGUGUUAGUGGAACGGUCUGGAAAGUCCGACGGUACAGGGUGAUAGUCCCGUACACCAAAAUGCACAGGCUGUGAACUCGAAGAGUAGGGCGGGACACGUGGUAUCCUGUCUGAAUAUGGGGGGACCAUCCUCCAAGGCUAAAUACUCCUGACUGACCGAUAGUGAACCAGUACCGUGAGGGAAAGGCGAAAAGAACCCCGGCGAGGGGAGUGAAAAAGAACCUGAAACCGUGUACGUACAAGCAGUGGGAGCACCUUCGGGUGUGACUGCGUACCUUUUGUAUAAUGGGUCAGCGACUUAUAUUCUGUAGCAAGGUUAACCGUAUAGGGGAGCCGCAGGGAAACCGAGUCUUAACUGGGCGUUAAGUUGCAGGGUAUAGACCCGAAACCCGGUGAUCUAGCCAUGGGCAGGUUGAAGGUUGGGUAACACUAACUGGAGGACCGAACCGACUAAUGUUGAAAAAUUAGCGGAUGACUUGUGGCUGGGGGUGAAAGGCCAAUCAAACCGGGAGAUAGCUGGUUCUCCCCGAAAGCUAUUUAGGUAGCGCCUCGUGAAUUCAUCUUCGGGGGUAGAGCACUGUUUCGGCUAGGGGUCAUCCCGACUUACCAACCCGAUGCAAACUACGAAUACCGAAGAAUGUUAUCACGGGAGACACACGGCGGGUGCUAACGUCCGUCGUGAAGAGGGAAACAACCCAGACCGCCAGCUAAGGUCCCAAAGUCAUGGUUAAGUGGGAAACGAUGUGGGAAGGCACAGACAGCCAGGAUGUUGGCUUAGAAGCAGCCAUCAUUUAAAGAAAGCGUAAUAGCUCACUGGUCGAGUCGGCCUGCGCGGAAGAUGUAACGGGGCUAAACCAUGCACCGAAGCUGCGGCAGCGACACUAUGUGUUGUUGGGUAGGGGAGCGUUCUGUAAGCCUGCGAAGGUGACCUGUGAGGGUUGCUGGAGGUAUCAGAAGUGCGAAUGCUGACAUAAGUAACGAUAAAGCGGGUGAAAAGCCCGCUCGCCGGAAGACCAAGGGUUCCUGUCCAACGUUAAUCGGGGCAGGGUGAGUCGACCCCUAAGGCGAGGCCGAAAGGCGUAGUCGAUGGGAAACAGGUUAAUAUUCCUGUACUUGGUGUUACUGCGAAGGGGGGACGGAGAAGGCUAUGUUAGCCGGGCGACGGUUGUCCCGGUUUAAGCAUGUAGGCUGGUUAUCCAGGCAAAUCCGGAUAAUCAAGGCUGAGGUGUGAUGACGAGGCACUACGGUGCUGAAGUAACAAAUGCCCUGCUUCCAGGAAAAGUCUCUAAGCAUCAGGUAACAUCAAAUCGUACCCCAAACCGACACAGGUGGUCAGGUAGAGAAUACCAAGGCGCUUGAGAGAACUCGGGUGAAGGAACUAGGCAAAAUGGUGCCGUAACUUCGGGAGAAGGCACGCUGGUGUGUAGGUGAAGCCCCUGCGGGUGGAGCUGAGACCAGUCGAAGAUACCAGCUGGCUGCAACUGUUUAUUAAAAACACAGCACUGUGCAAACACGAAAGUGGACGUAUACGGUGUGACGCCUGCCCGGUGCCGGAAGGUUAAUUGAUGGGGUUAUCCGUAAGGAGAAGCUCUUGAUCGAAGCCCCGGUAAACGGCGGCCGUAACUAUAACGGUCCUAAGGUAGCGAAAUUCCUUGUCGGGUAAGUUCCGACCUGCACGAAUGGCGUAAUGAUGGCCAGGCUGUCUCCACCCGAGACUCAGUGAAAUUGAACUCGCUGUGAAGAUGCAGUGUACCCGCGGCAAGACGGAAAGACCCCGUGAACCUUUACUAUAGCUUGACACUGAACAUUGAGCCUUGAUGUGUAGGAUAGGUGGGAGGCUUUGAAGCGUGGACGCCAGUCUGCGUGGAGCCAACCUUGAAAUACCACCCUUUAAUGUUUGAUGUUCUAACGUUGGCCCCUGACCGGGGUUGCGGACAGUGUCUGGUGGGUAGUUUGACUGGGGCGGUCUCCUCCCAAAGCGUAACGGAGGAGCACGAAGGUUAGCUAAUCCUGGUCGGACAUCAGGAGGUUAGUGCAAUGGCAUAAGCUAGCUUGACUGCGAGCGUGACGGCGCGAGCAGGUGCGAAAGCAGGUCAUAGUGAUCCGGUGGUUCUGAAUGGAAGGGCCAUCGCUCAACGGAUAAAAGGUACUCCGGGGAUAACAGGCUGAUACCGCCCAAGAGUUCAUAUCGACGGCGGUGUUUGGCACCUCGAUGUCGGCUCAUCACAUCCUGGGGCUGAAGUAGGUCCCAAGGGUAUGGCUGUUCGCCAUUUAAAGUGGUACGCGAGCUGGGUUUAGAACGUCGUGAGACAGUUCGGUCCCUAUCUGCCGUGGGCGCUGGAGAAUUGAGGGGGGCUGCUCCUAGUACGAGAGGACCGGAGUGGACGCAUCACUGGUGUUCGGGUUGUCAUGCCAAUGGCACUGCCCGGUAGCUAAAUGCGGAAGAGAUAAGUGCUGAAAGCAUCUAAGCACGAAACUUGCCCCGAGAUGAGUUCUCCCUGAGACUAUAAGUCUCCUGAAGGAACGUUAAAGACGAUGACGUUGAUAGGCCGGGUGUGUAAGCGCAGCGAUGCGUUGAGCUAACCGGUACUAAUGAACCGUGAGGCUUAACCUU
This 2899-nucleotide ribosomal RNA is filed under the name Klebsiella pneumoniae. Its description in RNAcentral is "bacterial LSU rRNA". It matches the Rfam family "Bacterial large subunit ribosomal RNA". The record is from RNAcentral. Lineage: Bacteria; Pseudomonadati; Pseudomonadota; Gammaproteobacteria; Enterobacterales; Enterobacteriaceae.